GAUGAACGCUGGCGGCGUGCCUAAUACAUGCCAGUCGAGCGAACAGACGAGGAGCUUGCUCCUCUGACGUUAGCGGCGGACGGGUGAGUAACACGUGGAUAACCUACCUAUAAGACUGGGAUAACUUCGGGAAACCGGAGCUAAUACCGGAUAAUAUAUUGAACCGCAUGGUUCAAUAGUGAAAGACGGUUUUGCUGUCACUUAUAGAUGGAUCCGCGCCGCAUUAGCUAGUUGGUAAGGUAACGGCUUACCAAGGCAACGAUGCGUAGCCGACCUGAGAGGGUGAUCGGCCACACUGGAACUGAGACACGGUCCAGACUCCUACGGGAGGCAGCAGUAGGGAAUCUUCCGCAAUGGGCGAAAGCUUGACGGAGCAACGCCGCGUGAGUGAUGAAGGUCUUCGGAUCGUAAAACUCUGUUAUUAGGGAAGAACAAAUGUGUAAGUAACUAUGCACGUCUUGACGGUACCUAAGCAGAAAGCCACGGCUAACUACGU
Molecule: ribosomal RNA, 496 nt
Filed under: uncultured bacterium
Lineage: Bacteria
Description: partial 16S ribosomal RNA
Rfam family: Bacterial small subunit ribosomal RNA
Source: RNAcentral